GACGAACGCUGGCGGCGUGCUUAACACAUGCAAGUCGAACGAUGAAGCCGGAGCUUGCUCUGGUGAAUUAGUGGCGAACGGGUGAGUAACACGUGAGUAACCUGCCCUUGACUCUGGGAUAACUGCGGGAAACUGUAGCUAAUACCGGAUACGACCCUCGGAGGCAUCUCCUGGGGGUGGAAAGAAUUUCGGUCAAGGAUGGACUCGCGGCCUAUCAGCUAGUUGGUGAGGUAAAGGCUCACCAAGGCGACGACGGGGAGCCGGCCUGAGAGGGUGACCUGACACACUGGGACUGAGACGCGGUCCAGACUGCUACGGGAGGAAGAAGUGGGAAAUAGUGCACUAUGGGUGCAAGCCUGAUGCCGCAAAGCGGCGUGAGGGAUGAGGGCCUUCGGGUUGUAAACCUCUUUUAGCAGGAAAGAAGCGAGAGUGACGGUACCUGCAAAAAAAGCAACGGCUAACUACGUGCCAGCAGCCGCCGUAA
Molecule: ribosomal RNA, 484 nt
Filed under: uncultured bacterium
Lineage: Bacteria
Description: partial 16S ribosomal RNA
Rfam family: Bacterial small subunit ribosomal RNA
Source: RNAcentral